UACGUAGGUCUCAAGCGUUAUCCGGAUUUACUGGGCGUAAAGUGUCCGUAUCCUGAUAUAUAAGUCCGUUUUCAAAUACCCCGACUCAAUCGGGGAAAGGGGAUGGAUACUGUAUAUCUAGAAGUUAUUGGGGGUUAGUGGAAUUUCCGGUGGAGCGGUGAAAUGUGUUGAUAUCGGAAAGAACGCCGAAAGCGAAAGCAGCUAACUACAAUAAACUUGACGGUGAUGGACGACAGCGUGGGGAGCAAACAGGAUUAGAUACCCUGGUAGUCCACGCCGUAAAUCAUGCCUGCUAGGUGUUUUCUUCAGCUUGCUGAAGGGAGUGCCGUAAUCUAACGAGUUAAGCAGGUCGCCUGGGUAGUAUACUCGCAAGAGUGAAACUCAAAGGGAUAGGCGGGGGAACACACAAGCAGUGGAUUAUCUAGAUUAAUUGGAUAAUAAGCCAAGAAUCUUACCUAGAAUUGACAUGCAUUGUGUCUUCUAUGAAAGUAGAAUAUUCUGUAGCAAUACAGAAGCUUUGCACAGGUGGUGCAUGGUCGUCGUCAGCUCGUGCCGCAAGGUGUCUAGUUAAGUCUGGAAACGAGCGCAACCCUCAUACUUAGUUAGUAUGUCUAAGUAGACUGCCCGGGUAACCGGGAGGAAGGAGAGGAUGACGUCAGAUCCUCAUGCCCCUUACAUCUAGGGCUUCAUAGAUAAUACAAUGGGUAGCACAACGAGAAGCAAUAUCGCGAGAUGGAGCAAAUCUUUAAAUCUACCCCUAGUUCGGAUUGUAGUCUGGAAUUCGACUACAUGAAGUUGGAAUUGCUAGUAAUGGCGAAUCAGCCAUGUCGCCGUGAAUAUGUCCCUGUUCCU
Molecule: ribosomal RNA, 852 nt
Filed under: uncultured bacterium
Lineage: Bacteria
Description: SSU rRNA
Rfam family: Bacterial small subunit ribosomal RNA
Source: RNAcentral